UGAUUCGCUGCGGAUCUCCAGUACUAGGGAGGAAAGACCAUCAGUCUCCAUUGUUAACAUUCCUGCGUCCCACGCACUCCGGGUGCCAUGCCUCCCAAAUGCACUCAACUCCCCACAGAAAAGGGAACCCAUCCUUCUGCCGCAUAAAGUAAAUUCAGAGCCAGGGGCCUUCUGAGGCUCAUCCCAGGGCCUCUUACCUGCUUCCUGUACUGUGGAGGCCAUGGCUAGUCCCCGUAAGACGCCCAGAAGUGGCCAGAGAGAGCCUGAGGUUGGGCCAGGAAGAGCCCCUUUAUGGUCCAGCAGCAGCAGACAGGCAGUAGCCGACAUGAAGCAGUGACCCAAAAGGCCAUUGAGGAAGAGUCAUAUCACUGAGAAUGCGGGAUCCCAGCCCACAGGAUGUUGUCACCUGCAUCCCACCUUGGUCUUCCUCUUUAACCUUUCUGGAAAUACCCUCCUAGUAGCAGCCAAAGGAGUGUUUCCAUGGAGAUUCUAAUCCCAUCUAAUUGAGCAUCAAAGGACCAGUGAGAUGGCUCAGUGUACCCACUUGCUACCAAGCCUGAUGACCUGGGUUCAAUCGCUGGGACCCAGUGGUGGAAAGAGACUACCAACUGCGGAAGCUGUCCUGUGGUGUCUCCCCCGACCCCCACAUGCAAAUUCUUAAUUAAUAUAAUUUUAUUUAUGUAUUAUCUA
Molecule: long non-coding RNA, 690 nt
Organism: Mus musculus (house mouse)
Lineage: Eukaryota; Metazoa; Chordata; Mammalia; Rodentia; Muridae
Product: RIKEN cDNA 2900089D17 gene
Exons: 3
Source: RefSeq, marked validated